RNAcentral lists this ribosomal RNA (253 nucleotides) under uncultured bacterium. Its description in RNAcentral is "partial 16S ribosomal RNA". It matches the Rfam family "Bacterial small subunit ribosomal RNA", at positions 524 to 776 of the family's 1533-position model. The record is from RNAcentral.
UACGGAGGGGGCUAGCGUUGUUCGGAAUUACUGGGCGUAAAGCGCACGUAGGCGGACUGGAAAGUCAGGGGUGAAAUCCCGGGGCUCAACCCCGGAACUGCCUUUGAAACUCCCGGUCUUGAGGUCGAGAGAGGUGAGUGGAAUUCCGAGUGUAGAGGUGAAAUUCGUAGAUAUUGGGAAGAACACCGGUGGCGAAGGCGGCGCCCUGGUCCGGUACUGACGCUGAGGCGCGAAAGCGUGGGGAGCAAACAGG